CGGCACGGGUGAGUAACACGUGAAUGAUCUACCUCCGAGUGGGGAAUAACUGAGAGAAAUCUUAGCUAAUACCGCAUAAUACCCACGGGUCAAAGCAGCAAUGCGCUUGGAGAGGAGUUCGCGGCCGAUUAGCUAGUUGGCGGGGUAAUGGCCCACCAAGGCGAUGAUCGGUAUCCGGCCUGAGAGGGCGCACGGACACACUGGAACUGAAACACGGUCCAG
This 222-nucleotide ribosomal RNA is filed under the name uncultured bacterium. RNAcentral describes it as "partial 16S ribosomal RNA". It matches the Rfam family "Bacterial small subunit ribosomal RNA", at positions 100 to 334 of the family's 1533-position model. The record is from RNAcentral.